This 313-nucleotide ribosomal RNA is filed under the name Andrescava sturmi. RNAcentral describes it as "partial 12S ribosomal RNA". Lineage: Eukaryota; Metazoa; Arthropoda; Arachnida; Opiliones; Agoristenidae. The record is from RNAcentral.
CCCUAAUAUUAAGUGAUUUAAUAAAAUUAGUAUACUUACUAGAAAUUUAAUGAAUUUGGCGGUUAACUUAGAAAUUAGAGGAACUUGUUUAUUUUAGAAUUAGCACUUUGAAUCUAAUUUAUUUAAUGUUUAUUUAUCUCCGUUUAAAGCUUAAAAAGAUUAUUUAGUAUUUCAGGUCAAGAUGUAGCUUUAAUAAAUAAUGAUUAGUUACAAUUUUAUAAAAGGAUGGAUAAGUUUAAUUAUAGAAAUUUUUAAAUUGAAUUUACUUGUAAUUCGUUUUACAAAAAAUAAAUGAAAGGAAUAGGUUAAUGUA